RNAcentral lists this transfer RNA (68 nucleotides) under Marmota monax (woodchuck). RNAcentral's name for it is "tRNA.Ala". The record is from RNAcentral. Lineage: Eukaryota; Metazoa; Chordata; Mammalia; Rodentia; Sciuridae.
GGAUUGUGGCUUAGUGGCAGAGCGCUUGUCUAGCAGGUAUAAGGCACUGGGUUCAAUCCUCAGCACCA